GACCACCCCGGUGUCAUGUUACAGACUGAACACUACAGACUGACCACUCCCCCAGGUGUCAUGUUACAGACUGAACACUACAGACUGACCACUCCCCCCCCAGGUGUCAUGUUACAGACUGACCACUCCCCCAGGUGUCAUAUUACAUAAAUCCUGUUUUAUUUUCUUUCUGAUGAAUUCAAACUACUAAAUGUGUUUACCCACUACACUCAAAUAAAAUGAUUAAUAAAUGACCUGA
Siniperca chuatsi (mandarin fish) is the source of this 238-nucleotide long non-coding RNA. RefSeq lists it as uncharacterized. The transcript is spliced from 2 exons. The record is from RefSeq and is a predicted model, not a curated record. NCBI's taxonomy places the organism in Eukaryota, Metazoa, Chordata, Actinopteri, Centrarchiformes, Sinipercidae.